UACGUAGGUGGCAAGCGUUAUCCGGAUUUACUGGGUGUAAAGGGAGCGUAGACGGCGAUGCAAGCCAGAUGUGAAAGCCCGGGGCUCAACCCCGGGACUGCAUUUGGAACUGUGUGGCUGGAGUGUCGGAGAGGCAAGUGGAAUUCCUAGUGUAGCGGUGAAAUGCGUAGAUAUUAGGAGGAACACCAGUGGCGAAGGCGGCUUGCUGGACGAUGACUGACGUUGAGGCUCGAAAGCGUGGGGAGCAAACAGG
Molecule: ribosomal RNA, 253 nt
Filed under: uncultured bacterium
Lineage: Bacteria
Description: partial 16S ribosomal RNA
Rfam family: Bacterial small subunit ribosomal RNA
Source: RNAcentral